CCUACGGGGGACAGCAGUGGGGAAUAUUGGGCAAUGGGCGCAAGCCUGACCCAGCAACGCCGCGUGAAGGAAGAAGGCUUUCGGGUUGUAAACCUCUUUUCUCAGGGACGAAGCAAGUGACGGUACCUGCGGAAUAAGCCACGGCUAACUACGGGCCAGCAGCCGCGGCAAUACGUAGGUGGCAAGCGUUCUCCGGAUUUACUGGGUGUAAAGGUCGUGUAGGCGGGACUGCAAGUCAGAUGUGAAAACCACGGGCUCAACCUGUGCACUGCAUGUGAAACUGUAGUUCUUGAGUACUGGGGAGGCAGGCGGAAUUCGUGGUGUAGCGGUGAAAUGCGUAGAUAUUAGGAGGAACACCGGUGGCGAAGGCAGUCUGCUGGACAGCAACUGACGCUGAGGCGCGAAAGCGUGGGGAGCAAACAGGAUUAGAUACCCUGGUAGUC
This 443-nucleotide ribosomal RNA is filed under the name uncultured bacterium. RNAcentral describes it as "partial 16S ribosomal RNA". It matches the Rfam family "Bacterial small subunit ribosomal RNA", at positions 338 to 795 of the family's 1533-position model. The record is from RNAcentral.